UGAUAGCAUUGGCCAGCAAGAGAUCCAAGUUACUGCCUUGAAGAUUUUAGAAGAUUUUACAUCUUCAGAUGCAGGUUCCUGCCUUCAGAUUCCUAUAUACAUACACACGUACGGCGCAGUGUUAGGCAGUGGUGGAAGCUCCUUAUUUCUGUUAGAGAUAAGCUGGAGUACCAAGCACUCUUGCCCUUAGUAGUCCGCAAGUUACUACAUACCAGCUCUAACUACACCGUACACUUCAAAGGGAUACUAAGAGAAAAUGUGGUCUGGGAUCACUUGUGAAAUCCUGUGUCAUUCACUAAAUGAAACUGAACAAGAAUCUGUUGGAGAGGCUGAUAUAUAACAGCCCAGCCUUUCUUCAUUUUACUGUUUUUUAGCAAAUAAAUACUGAGACAUGAUUAAAUGUUUUAAUUAU
This 412-nucleotide long non-coding RNA is filed under the name Coturnix japonica (Japanese quail). RNAcentral's name for it is "lncRNA (ENSCJPG00005019602.1)". Lineage: Eukaryota; Metazoa; Chordata; Aves; Galliformes; Phasianidae. The record is from RNAcentral.